GGAGUGGUGGUUCAGUGGUAGAAUCCUUGACUUCCAUGUGGGAGUCCUGGGUUCAAUUCCCAGCCAAUGCA
Transfer RNA from Loxodonta africana (African savanna elephant), 71 nucleotides. It matches the Rfam family "tRNA". Rfam says of the family: Transfer RNA (tRNA) molecules are approximately 80 nucleotides in length. Their secondary structure includes four short double-helical elements and three loops (D, anti-codon, and T loops). The record is from Rfam. NCBI's taxonomy places the organism in Eukaryota, Metazoa, Chordata, Mammalia, Proboscidea, Elephantidae.